GACGAACGCUGGCGGCGUGCCUAAUACAUGCAAGUUGAGCGCUGAAGGUUGGUACUUGUACCGACUGGAUGAGCAGCGAACGGGUGAGUAACGCGUGGGGAAUCUGCCUUUGAGCGGGGGACAACAUUUGGAAACGAAUGCUAAUACCGCAUAAAAACUUUAAACACAAGUUUUAAGUUUGAAAGAUGCAAUUGCAUCACUCAAAGAUGAUCCCGCGUUGUAUUAGCUAGAUGGUGAGGUAAAGGCUCACCAAGGCGAUGAUACAUAGCCGACCUGAGAGGGUGAUCGGCCACAUUGGGACUGAGACACGGCCCAAACUCCUACGGGAGGCAGCAGUAGGGAAUCUUCGGCAAUGGACGAAAGUCUGACCGAGCAACGCCGCGUGAGUGAAGAAGGUUGUCGGAUCGUAAAACUCUGUUGGUAGAGAAGAACGUUGGUGAGAGUGGAAAGCUCAUCAAGUGACGGUAACUACCCAGAAAGGGACGGCUAACUACGUG
RNAcentral lists this ribosomal RNA (497 nucleotides) under uncultured bacterium. RNAcentral's name for it is "partial 16S ribosomal RNA". It matches the Rfam family "Bacterial small subunit ribosomal RNA", at positions 28 to 507 of the family's 1533-position model. The record is from RNAcentral.